AAAAAAAGAUUUUCACCAAAAAGAAUCAGUUAUUUCAUCACCAAAGACAAAAGCAAAGUUUGAACAUUAGAAAGAGAUGUUGAAGUGUGUGUGUGUGUGUGUGUGUGUGUGUGUGUGCUGUAGCUCUGCCUCUCCCUGCUCUGCCAGGCCUGCCUCUCCCCCUCUCCCUCAUUAGGACACACACAGCUGCACAGCAUCACAGAGCUGCCCUGCUGCUCCUCACACACACUCCGGCCAGCCGCUCCUCACACACACUCCGACCAGCCGCUCCUCACACACUCUCCGACCAGCCGCUCCUCACACACUCUCACCAUGACGAAAACCAACGGCUGCCUCCGCGGCAUCUUCCUCGUCUUCAAUGCCAUUUUUGCGGGUAUUGGAGGUCUGAUGGUGUACGGGACGAUAAAGGCCACCGCCUUCAGCAGCCAGCUGGCGUCCGUGGGGGGUCCCAGCCUGGCCUGGAGCUGGAUCAUCUCCAUCGCCAUCGUCGGAAUCGCCGCCCUGGGAAUGUACGCCGGCAAAUACGAGAGCGCCAUCGCGCUGAAAGUGUUUGCAGGUUUCAUGGGCGUGUCGAUGGUCAUCAUGUUGGUCUGCGGCAUUAUCGUGGUCGUCGGCAAGAACAAGCUCGCGGACGCCUUCAGCGAAUCCUCGCCGGAGAUCCUUGAGGCGGUCAUGGACGAUGAUUCGAUGAAGGAAGCGCUGGACGAGCUGCAGCUCUACGGUCACUGCUGUGGGGUCUGGGAGCCCAGCGACUGGGGCAACAACAUCCCCUCGUCCUGCGACUGCAACCACAGAACCAAAGGCCUCGACCUGGGACUGGGACGGGCAAAAUGCACAUCCAAACCCAUGGGUUCUACGGGACCCAGUCAAAUCUACUCACGGCCCUGCAAAGACGUGGUCAUCGUUUUGUGUAACAUGGUGCUGAACGUUGCCAUCGGUCUCUGCUUCGGGUUUGCCGUCAUUGCUCUCCUCGGCCUGCUGAUCUCCCUCCUGAUGGUGCACCAGAUCCAGCGCUACGACGGCAUGGGCAGAAUCGCCAUUCCCAUGAAAGGCUUCUAAACCGUUUCUCUUCGAAAAAACAGAAUCGUAUAUUUUUGUGGUAAUCGUGUGGUGUUUUUUUUUUUUUUUUUGCUGAUGAUGCACUGUUGUGUUUUUGUAUUUUCUGCUGACCUGAUGCAGUUCUGUUAACCUGAAACCAAAUGAAAAUUCCUCUUUAACCGUUUAAUAAUAAAAAGUUUUAUAAUGUAGUUUACUCCUCUUUUUUUAAGCUUCUGAGAUGAUUUGUGUUCCAAGAAAAUCUAAAAAACAUUGGUGACUGCUUAAAAGAAAAAGGAUUUACUCGUCUAUAAGGAGAAGUCUUUAUCAUCGUUUGAAAAAUUACAUUCAACCCUCAAUCCACAUUGUACAGACUCUUAAUCUGGUUGUAGUUGCUGUUGCCAUGACGCUCAUAAAAAUCACAAAAUGCCUUUUGAAGAAAAUCAAGCAACAUAAGAUUUAUCAGGGUUUCUGUUACUUUUGCCUAAAACGGCUGAAAUGAAUUCAUUUUUUUCCACAUUUUGUUUCAUUCCUUUGUUUUGUAAAUAACCCAAAAGUCCUCAACUUACAGGCUUAAAACUCUAAACUGACUUUAGCUGUUGUAGAUAAUUUUUUUUUCAGCUUCAGUUUUUAAUGUGAAACACAUUUAAAAAAAAAAAAAAAAAAAAAGGAUAAAGAAAAAAUGUAAUCGCUAUUUAGGCCUACAUGAACCAAAACAAUAAGUCAGACUUCUCUAAUCCUCAAUAGCUUAGUUCAUUUUCUUAAUUUCCCAUCAAACAUCAAUGGUUGCAUUCAGUCAAGGUCUAUAAUUACAAAUUCCUUCAAUAGUUGUAUUCUAUCAAUGCAGCAUUGUCCUCAAACACACAGCUCCUCACACUCAUUGCAUAACGUCUCCUCCAGCAAUCCUUUUUGUUUUUGUUUGAAUACACUCACGAGAAGGAGGUGCGUCACUCAAACAAAGAGCAGAUGUUGAACACUGUUAUAUAAGGAAGGAUUCUUCAUGUUUGAAUUGAACUUUUCAGCUAAAGCAGUGAGCAAGCUCACAGGUUCACUGUCUAACUCGUGCAAACUUUCGUAUCUUUUUCCUUCUGGCUUUAAUCGUCUGAUUGUAAAAUCCUCUUGGAAACGCUCUAUUAAUUAUCUACAUGCAGAGUUCUUGUUUUCCUGAAUGGCAAGUUUAUUUUGAAGCAGUAAUUUGGCAAAAAUCUGAGUGAGUAAAAGAACA
RNAcentral lists this long non-coding RNA (2260 nucleotides) under Salarias fasciatus (jewelled blenny). Its description in RNAcentral is "lncRNA (ENSSFAG00005000896.1)". The record is from RNAcentral. Lineage: Eukaryota; Metazoa; Chordata; Actinopteri; Blenniiformes; Blenniidae.